This 253-nucleotide ribosomal RNA is filed under the name uncultured bacterium. RNAcentral's name for it is "partial 16S ribosomal RNA". It matches the Rfam family "Bacterial small subunit ribosomal RNA", at positions 524 to 776 of the family's 1533-position model. The record is from RNAcentral.
UACAGAGGUGGCAAGCGUUGUUCGGAAUUACUGGGCGUAAAGGGCGCGUAGGCGGCCUUCUAAGUCGGAUGUGAAAGCCCCGGGCUCAACCCGGGAAGUGCACUCGAUACUGCCGAGCUAGAGUAUCGGAGAGGUUGGUGGAAUUCUCGGUGUAGAGGUGAAAUUCGUAGAUAUCGAGAGGAACACCGGUGGCGAAGGCGGCCAACUGGACGAAUACUGACGCUGAGACUCGAAAGCGUGGGGAGCAAACAGG